RNAcentral lists this unclassified non-coding RNA (432 nucleotides) under Hevea brasiliensis (rubber tree). The record is from RNAcentral. Lineage: Eukaryota; Viridiplantae; Streptophyta; Magnoliopsida; Malpighiales; Euphorbiaceae.
AUAGCCGGUCGUAUGGCUGUACGCUAAUCUUAAGGUGAUUAGCUCUUUUUUUUUUUUACCUUAUUUGAUUUAUGGGUUUAACUUGCCUCUUCUAUUUUCAUUUUUCUAUUUUUGUUUACAUAUGCAAAUACUAUUGUCUGCAGAAAUUGCAACCAUCCAUUUAAUAUUCAGAAGUUUGAUGGGAUCUUCAUUUUGACAAUUAGACUUCAGGAAUAGAGGAAUUACCUUUGCAAUCAGUUAAGUUUCUUCAAUUUUUAUUUUGUUUGUGUUUAGAUUCUUAAAAAUUAAAAUUGUGACCGGGUUUUGUGUUGGGAUCGAGCAAUAGCAGCUUUUGUUGGCAGUGUUUACUAAAUGGCUGGUGGCCAUGCAAGAGGGAGACAAAAAGAGAAGAGAGAUAGAGUUGGUGGCUGGGGAAGAUGAAGAAGAAGACAG